Long non-coding RNA from Bombina bombina (fire-bellied toad), 571 nucleotides. RefSeq lists it as uncharacterized. Lineage: Eukaryota; Metazoa; Chordata; Amphibia; Anura; Bombinatoridae. The transcript is spliced from 3 exons. The record is from RefSeq and is a predicted model, not a curated record.
ACCACAAUGUGUGUAUUUGGUGCUAUUGUCUAUCUGAGAAAUACACAAACUCUUUUAUGGUAAAGUUAUAAAACUAGAUCAUAGGAUAUAAAACUGAAUCUUCUUUAUUUGUACAGAUGAAGAUAACGCUGAUAUAGUGAAAGUUGAGAUAACAGAAGAUCUGUGUGUGAGGCGUCAGGUGAAAGCUCCAGAUUAUGAAACCAGUGACCGUAUCAGCUCAGAUCAAGAUAACGCUGAUAUAGUGAAAGUUGAGAUAACAGAAGAUCUGUGUGUGAGGCGUCAGGUGAAAGCUCCAGAUUAUGAAACCAGUGACCGUAUCAGCUCAGGUAUAUUUACAAACUGCAGUAAUCCUAAUCAUGACCAGAGUGCUGAUACUUCUUUUAAUCUUCUUCAAAAUAAGAGAAGCCACAUGGGAAACUUAUGUUCUGAAUCUGGAAAAUCUUUUACCUUGAAAUCAGCUCUUGGUAAUCGUGUGAAAAUUCAUACAGAAAAGAAAGUAUUUUCAUGUUCUCACUGUGGGAAAUGUUUUACUCUGAAAUCACAUUUUAUUACGCAUCAGAAAAUUCAUACA